CCUACUCUCUCUCUCUCUCUCUCUCUCUCUCUCUCUCUCUCUCUCUCUCUCUCUCUCUCUCUCUCUCGUGCAUCUCCAUAAACUAUC
This 87-nucleotide small RNA is filed under the name Arabidopsis thaliana (thale cress). Its description in RNAcentral is "ATSL180390". The record is from RNAcentral. Lineage: Eukaryota; Viridiplantae; Streptophyta; Magnoliopsida; Brassicales; Brassicaceae.